AUAACAAUGCUUGAGGAAGAGGGAGUACGUAUCAAUGCGUAAGGCAAAGAGAGUCGGUGGCUGCUGAGAACCGAACCAUACGCGAUACGGAAAUGGGCUUCUGAAUUGCUUCGCUGAAACCAUAACAGUAGGCGGCAGCCGGGAUUCUCUCUCCGUUACUAAGAGAGAAGCAUCGAAAGUGAUUUUUUUCUGUGCUUUAAAGCGAAUUGCUUUUUAGCAAUUAAUAAAGGUGGCACCGCGGAAACCUCGUCCUUUGA
Molecule: non-coding RNA, 257 nt
Filed under: Bacillus gobiensis
Lineage: Bacteria; Bacillati; Bacillota; Bacilli; Caryophanales; Bacillaceae
Description: T-box sequence
Rfam family: T-box leader
About the family: Uncharged tRNA acts as the effector for transcription antitermination of genes in the T-box leader family.
Source: RNAcentral